GGCAAGAUGGCCGAGCGGUCUAAGGCGCUAGGGUCAGGUACCUGAUCUCAUAUAUUCUUCGGAAUAUUCCUAGUCUCGAAAGGGGCGUGGGUUCGAAUCCCACUCUUGUCA
Molecule: transfer RNA, 111 nt
Filed under: Aspergillus sclerotiicarbonarius CBS 121057
Lineage: Eukaryota; Fungi; Ascomycota; Eurotiomycetes; Eurotiales; Aspergillaceae
Description: Aspergillus sclerotiicarbonarius (strain CBS 121057 / IBT 28362) tRNA
Rfam family: tRNA
About the family: Transfer RNA (tRNA) molecules are approximately 80 nucleotides in length.
Source: Rfam by way of RNAcentral